This 1310-nucleotide long non-coding RNA is filed under the name Sus scrofa (pig). RNAcentral describes it as "lncRNA (ENSSSCG00045033248.1)". The record is from RNAcentral. Lineage: Eukaryota; Metazoa; Chordata; Mammalia; Artiodactyla; Suidae.
AUGAACGCCAGGCCCACGGUGGCUUGGCAGGGGAGGUGGGGGGGAAGCUGUGACUGACCUUUUCUCCCAAAACGUUGACAUUUUCUAAGGCUUCUGAGCACUCGAAGUCACCUCCAUGGCUGGGACAUUGAUAGGAGCGGAUUGAUGAGGUGUCAUUAGAGGAGAGACGCCGUGGCCCCAGUGUUUGCUGGGAGAAUACAGCAGGUGUUCUGACAAGGACACACACCAUCACUGUUAUUUGCCAAACAAUUCUCUUGAUUCACUAAAGUCAAGCAUGCCAGCAUUUCUUUAUAAAAAGAAAACAAGGCUGUUUUUCAUAGCCACCCAGAGGAGAGGUCAUCGCUAAAUUGCAUUUCUGAAUUACUUUUCAUUUCGCAUCAAUAUAGUAAAAAGGUUUCUAUUAUUCCUCCCCCCUCACAUCCUCCUUCCCUCUGCACCCCUCCACUCUGCCCCCACCUGGCCCUGCCCAGAAUCCUCGUGGCAUGUAAGCGGAAAAUAUUACGUGAUGGUAAAGGAAGUGAGAUAUGAGGAGAAACUUGUUGAUAGCCACACUAACAGAGGAAGACAUUUCCACCUAGAGGCCCAGAGGAGGAGAAAAAAAGUAGAGGUAAAAUGUUUUCAGACUAUAAAUUCUAUGUUUGUAUAUCACAAAAGAAAUACAGUGGAUUCAUAUUACAACACUAAUCUGAAUUUAUUUAUAAGUAAAAGGAGUCUUCAAAGAGAAUGGAUGAAAAUCUAUUAUCAAAAGGAAGAUAGCAAUAGAUAACACUACAUAAGAUAAUGUGAGUUUAGGUCUUUCCAUGCAGGGUCUUUCCUUUGUAUAUCCUCCCAUAUCUUCCCCCAUCCAACCUUCCUGACAUUCCAUCACUCUGUCACCUGUGUCAGUUUUCAGAAAACAAUGGUUCCUCAGCAAAAAUUACCUGUCUGACUGUCUUUGUAUUCCUGCCAUCUUCUGUUUACCCCUUACUAACUUCAGGGCUUCAGGUCAUGGACCUCCAUUCCCUUGGCUAGACAUUUAGUGGAACUCUCAACACUACAGUGGAAGUAAUUAUGCAGUCCCCAUUUUUACCCAAACCCUCUAGAAAUCUUGAACCACUGAAUAAAGUAAAUAAGAUGAUGACUUUAGUGAUCCCUUCUAUUCACAAUGGUUUGAAUUUUUGUUUUUUGGUUUUUGGGUUUUUUUUGUUUUUUUUUUUUUUUUAUCUUUUUGCCUUUUCUAAGGCCACUUCCUGCGGCAUAUGGAGGUUCCCAGGCUAGGGGUCGAAUUGGAGCUGUAGCCACCAGCCUACGCCAGAGCCACAGCAACGCGG